AGAGAGGUGUCCGAGUGGUUGAAGGAGCACGCCUGGAAAGUGUGUAAACGUGCAAGCGUUUCGAGGGUUCGAAUCCCUUCCUCUCUGCCA
This 90-nucleotide transfer RNA is filed under the name Chitinophagaceae bacterium. RNAcentral's name for it is "tRNA-Ser". It matches the Rfam family "tRNA". From Rfam's summary of the family: Transfer RNA (tRNA) molecules are approximately 80 nucleotides in length. Their secondary structure includes four short double-helical elements and three loops (D, anti-codon, and T loops). Further hydrogen bonds mediate the characteristic L-shaped molecular structure. tRNAs have two regions of fundamental functional importance: the anti-codon, which is responsible for specific mRNA codon recognition, and the 3' end, to which the tRNAs corresponding amino acid is attached (by aminoacyl-tRNA synthetases). tRNAs cope with the degeneracy of the genetic code in two manners: having more than one tRNA (with a specific anti-codon) for a particular amino acid; and 'wobble' base-pairing, i.e. permitting non-standard base-pairing at the 3rd anti-codon position. Lineage: Bacteria; Pseudomonadati; Bacteroidota; Chitinophagia; Chitinophagales; Chitinophagaceae. The record is from RNAcentral. RNAcentral also lists the same sequence under 1 other name.